RNAcentral lists this ribosomal RNA (466 nucleotides) under uncultured bacterium. RNAcentral's name for it is "partial 16S ribosomal RNA". It matches the Rfam family "Bacterial small subunit ribosomal RNA", at positions 28 to 507 of the family's 1533-position model. The record is from RNAcentral.
GAUGAACGCUGGCGGCGUGCUUAACACAUGCAAGUCGAACGAUGAAGCCCAGCUUGCUGGGUGGAUUAGUGGCGAACGGGUGAGUAACACGUGAGUAACCUGCCCUUAACUCUGGGAUAAGCCUGGGAAACUGGGUCUAAUACCGGAUAGGAGCGCCUACCGCAUGGUGGGUGUUAGAAAGAUUUAUCGGUUUUGGAUGGACUCGCGGCCUAUCAGCUUGUUGGUGAGGUAAUGGCUCACCAAGGCGACGACGGGUAGCCGGCCUGAGAGGGUGACCGGCCACACUGGGACUGAGACACGGCCCAGACUCGUACGGGAGGCAGCAGUGGGGAAUAUUGCACAAUGGGCGAAAGCCUGAUGCAGCGACGCCGCGUGAGGGAUGACGGCCUUCGGGUUGUAAACCUCUUUCAGUAGGGAAGAAGCGAAAGUGACGGUACCUGCAGAAGAAGCACCGGCUAACUACGUG